AGUUUACGCGCACUCUCAGGUGCUGAUGGCCAUUGUCGCCAUCAGUUAAACGGGAAGUUGGUGAACACUUACGUGAAUCCAACGCUGCCCCCGCAACGGUGAUCGAGAUAAGAACGGCUAAAGACGCCACUGUGCUAACGCAUGGGAAGGUGGUCGUUCGGAAAGGCAUGAUGCUGUUAUCCGCUUUUCGCUCGUCAGCCCGGAGACCGGCCUAAGAGGCAUGGUUCUA
RNAcentral lists this non-coding RNA (229 nucleotides) under Halomonas campaniensis. Lineage: Bacteria; Pseudomonadati; Pseudomonadota; Gammaproteobacteria; Oceanospirillales; Halomonadaceae. The record is from RNAcentral.